Fusarium oxysporum f. sp. cubense is the source of this 100-nucleotide transfer RNA. It matches the Rfam family "tRNA". Rfam says of the family: Transfer RNA (tRNA) molecules are approximately 80 nucleotides in length. NCBI's taxonomy places the organism in Eukaryota, Fungi, Ascomycota, Sordariomycetes, Hypocreales, Nectriaceae. The record is from Rfam.
GCGGGUUUAGCUCAGUUGGGAGAGCGUCAGACUGAAGUAAAAACUUCAAUCAAUAUCAAACGAUAUCUGAAGGUCGUGUGUUCGAUCCACACAAACCGCA